This 494-nucleotide ribosomal RNA is filed under the name uncultured bacterium. RNAcentral's name for it is "partial 16S ribosomal RNA". It matches the Rfam family "Bacterial small subunit ribosomal RNA", at positions 28 to 507 of the family's 1533-position model. The record is from RNAcentral.
GACGAACGCUGGCGGCGUGCUUAACACAUGCAAGUCGAACGGUGAAGCGCCUUCCUCUUUGGUGGGUGUGGAUGAGUGGCGGACGGGUGAGUAACACGUGAGUAACCUGCCCCCUUCUUCUUGAUAACCACAUGAAAGUGUCGCUAAUACGGGAUAUUCUGGAUCUGUCGCAUGUUGGGUCUGUGAAAGAUGUUGUUUCGGUGGGUGAUGGUCUCGCGGCCUAUCAGCUUGUUGGUGGGGUGGUGGCCUACCAAGGCGGUGACGGGUGGCCGGCCUGAGAGGGUGGAGGGCCACAAUGGGAAUGAGACACGGCGCAGACUACUACGGGAGGCAGCAGUGGGGAAUAAUGCACAAUGGGCGGAAGCAUGAUGCAGCGACGCCGCGGGAGGGAUGGAGGCCGUCGGGUUGUGAACCUCUUUCGCCAGUGAAGCAGGCAUGCCUCGUGUGUGGGUGGGUUGACGGUAGCUGGAGAAGAAGCGCCGGCUAACUACGUG